GCGGGGAUAGCUCAGUUGGGAGAGCGUCAGACUGAAGUCGAAUAACUCCAGUUGUAUAUCUGAAGGUCGUGUGUUCAAUCCACACUCACCGCA
Non-coding RNA from Cytospora paraplurivora, 93 nucleotides. Lineage: Eukaryota; Fungi; Ascomycota; Sordariomycetes; Diaporthales; Cytosporaceae. The record is from the annotation of a GenBank genome assembly.